Long non-coding RNA from Neofelis nebulosa (Clouded leopard), 6150 nucleotides. RefSeq lists it as uncharacterized. The transcript is spliced from 8 exons. The record is from RefSeq and is a predicted model, not a curated record. NCBI's taxonomy places the organism in Eukaryota, Metazoa, Chordata, Mammalia, Carnivora, Felidae.
UAACUCUAGGGAAAACUCUGACCCAUAGGUAGAGCCUAGGGCAGCCAGAGGCUUUCUGCUUCAACUCUCUGCAGCUUGGAGAACCACUGUCUGUAGGAGGUCAGCUACAAAUGGGCUGGGGGGUGCAUGGCAGUGGGAACUGUUGCUGCAGUAAUGGGCCCUUUCACAAUAGCACUGUUUUGUCAUUUUUCACCCAGAUUUCCGUUGGUUAAACUCAGCCUUAACUUCCUCAUUUAUGUUUCCUCUUGAAGACAUCAAGGACCCUUCAAAACACACGAUGUUCCUGCCCCAGGCAAAAAGCCCAGUUACCUCUGGCCACUGCAGUUUGGCUCAUCACCAGGGAACCUUUGCCUCCUCCAAGACCAAGGCACCACUCCAGUAACAGGAGCCAACUGAAGCUUGGAACUCCAAGGAAUGCUAAAGCUAUAGCCCGAGGACCUCUGGGGCCAUAUCUCCCAGGAAGAUCUUGCCUCCUCACUGAAGCUCCUGGCCUGGCCUCCUGCAGUGCCACACUCCGUGUAUUUGACAAGCUGAGUUGGACACUCCAUGUGGUAGAGUGUCAGUUUGUCAAAUACCCCAAGUGCGGCAUAUGCCUAACAGCUCCAAGCCAGAGCAGUUGGGAUACAACAAAUAAAUUGCCAGCUGAAUACAAGAUCACUCUCCAAACACAAACUAAACUUUCACAGGUUAUUUUCAGUGACUUGAGGGAACUGAAGCAUUGUAUCUGAGGGUGCCAGGGGAGAAGUGAGGCAACUCUUGAAGCCACAGAUCUGGAAUGUUUCUACACACAUUGUCAGAGCCCAAGCAGGACAUAAUGGUCUUAAAAAGCAUUAUUUACACUAGCCAAGAUAUGGAAGCAACAUAAGUGUUCAUGGAUAGACAAAUGGAUACAGAAAAAGUGGUGUAUAUAUGUACAAUGGAAUGUUAAAUAGCCAUAAAAGAGGAUACAAUCAAGCCAUUUGAGACAACAUGGAGGGACAUAGAGGAUAUUAUGGACACCACCCCCCUCCACACACACAAACUGUCUUCUAUGGAAUAAAGAUAUCUCCAUUACAAGGACUGUGAUUGAAAGGAUCUCCAAAAGAAAGGAUUGCUCACCUUUGACCACAAACUUCACAAUGUCACUGCGCUGCUCAGAUCCUACCCGGCCCUUGGCAGUACAGAAAUAGGAGCCGGAGUCAGCCACCACAGCAUGCUUGAAGAGUAAGGUUUCACCAAAGGUACAUUGGAAAAUCCCAUCCCAAGGGGUAAUGGAGAGGAAAAUGUCUGGAGAGGAAAAGGAUAUGAAUAAAAUCCUAGAGCUGGCUAUGGUAAGGAUGGUAGUAGGAACAAAAGGAGAUUGAUCCUUGGAAUGCUGGGGAAGGAAACAGGGGGAAGGCGAGUUGGGGGUGUUGAGAGAGCCAUCACCUCCCUUUAGAAAUUUCCAUUCAUAAAGUUGUAUUUUGAAGACUUUGUGUUUUACUUAAAUCUGACCAAGAGUGAGGGAUCACAUUUAGACAAUUUAUUUAUGUCUGUACCAGAAGAAUGAGCUUGAAACUGUGAGAUGUAACUGAAUAAAAGCCUUUUAUGUAGCUCAGAUUCCCAGGCUUCAGUCAAAGAGGUGGAAGACCGGAUGGGGGCAUCCUCCCAGAAUUUAUUGCCAAGUACCAGGGUUUCUAUCAGUGGGGAGACUAAAGUCAAGUCUCUAGUCUGUACCUUCAGCAGAAAUUCUUAGAGCAUAACUAGCAUAUUUUGGACAAGAUAAAAGCCUUGAGUAGAAAAGAAUAAACAAACAUGAGUCCAUGUUGUUAAAUCCACCACAUAUUCUCUGGAGGGUUUCAGAUUGUGCAGGAAGCAGAACUCAAACCCAUGAAUGGGAGCAUAAUAGGGGUGGAUUUUGGUUUGCUCUAAAAAUGAACUUUAUAAUUAUCCAUAUCUGUUUAUUGAUGGACUAAGUUGUCAGGGGGAAAUUCUGAGCUUUGUUUAUGUCUUGGACAGUAUUACUCUUUAAGGUACCUUCCAAUCCUAGAUGGUUCAAUACUAAUUGUAAUGGAAAUGGAAGUUAAAUAAUUACAUUUUCUAGCUGGUGGUGAACUAUCACCAGAUGGUGGUGAGUUUCACUGUGCUAUUGCUAGUGUAGGCCUCCAUAUGCAUGCAAAUACAGCUUAUCAUCAUCAUGAACACAAACGUGUCACUUGCAAACACACAUAUAGGGCCUUAAGUCCCAUGAAAACCAUCUGAGCCUCUCAGUUUAAUGUGCUUUUUCCCAAUAAUCUUCCAGCUCUCCCAAAUCUGUCUCCCCUCCUCUGAAAAGCAUUCUCACACUUUUCUCCUGGACAACAAAGCAGCAUUCUGCUGUGAGGACAUUUGGAACAGCUGAACAUGCCUUUGUCUAUAUGGAGAGGAAGAAGCAGGGGGCAGAGAGAGAGGAAGAGACAGAAUCAUGCUCAGGGUGAAGCCUAAUGAUGGGCUCAAUCUCAUGAACUGUAAGAUCAUGGCCUGAGCCAAAAUCAAGAGUCCAAUGCUUAACUGACUGAGCCACCGGGGGCCCCUGAAUUAUUCUUGUAUUCCUGUCAAUACCACUUGAUUUUGGGAUACUCCAAGGAACAAAUCAAAGCAUACCUGGUGAAGGGUCCAAAAUAUCACUAUGAGUAGGGUAAUAGAAUAAUAAAAGUCACAACAACAGAGAGAAAAUAACAUUCUCUGAAAAAAAAAAUCUCUUGAAGGGCCAGACCCUGGACAGUGGAUGACGACCCUCCUUUAACAUAGCAGUGCUCGUACGUGCAGAGCACACAACAAACAUUUAAAAUGCAUAAGGAACAGAAAACUAGCCAAAAUGAUGAAACGGAAGAAUUCUGCUCAAAAGAAAUUCCAGGAAGUAGCGACAGCUAACGCAUUGAUCAAAACGAUUUAAGCAAUAUAACGGAACAAGAAUUUAGAAUAAUAUCAUAAAAUUAAUUGCUGGUCAAGAAAAAAAGCAUAGAAGACAGCAGAGAAUCUACUGCUACAGAGAACAAGGGACGAAAAAAUAGUCAUGAUGAAUUAAAACCUGCUAUAAAUGAGGUGCAAAAUAAAAUGGAGGUGGCAACAGUGCGGAUUGAAGAGGCAGAAGAGAGAAUAGGUGAAUUAGAAGAUAAAAUUAUGGAAAAAGAGGAAGAUGAAAAGAAGAGAGAUAAAAAAAAUCCAGGAGUAUGAGGAGAGAAUUACAGAACGAAGUGAUGAAACCCAACAGAACAUUAUCCAUAUCAUAGGAAUUCCAGAAGAAGAGAGAGGGAAAGGGGUAGAAGGUGUACUUGAACAAAUCAUAGCUGAGAACUUCCCUGAUCUGGGGAAGGAAACAGGCAUUGAAAUCCAAGAGGCACAGAGACCUCCCUUCUGGUGCAACUUGAUUUUCUACACUACAUAUCAUAGUGAAACUGGCAAAUUACAAAGAUGAAGAGAGAAUUCUGAAAGCAGCUUGGGAUACACGGCCCCUAACAUACAAAGGUAGACACAUAAGGGUAGUAGCAGACCUAUGUACUGAAACUUGGCAGGCCAGAAAGGAAUGGCAGGAAAUCUUCAAUGUGAUGAAAAGGAAAAAUAUGCAGCCAAGAAUUCUUUACCCAGAAAGUCUGUCAUUCAGAAUAGAAGGAGAGAUAAAUGUUUUCCCAAACAAAAACUGAAGGAAUUCAUCGCCAUUAAACCAGGCCUACAAUUGAUUUUAAGGGGUAUUCUGUGAGUGAAAUGUUGCAAGGACCACAAAGUACCAGAGGCAUCACUAGAAGCAGGAAACUUACAGAUAUCACAAUGACUAUAAACCCAUAUCUUUCAAUAAUAACACUGAAUGUAAAUGCUCCAACCAAAAGACAUAGAGUAUCAGAAUGGAUAAAAAAAAAAACAAGGCCUAUCUAUUUUCUGUCUAUAAGAGACUCAUUUUAGACCUGAUGACACCUUAAGGUUGUGAGUAAGGAGAUGGAGAACUAUCUAUCGUGCUACUGGAGGUCAAAAGAAAGCUGGAGUAGCCAUACAUAUACCAGACAAACUAGACUUUCAAUUAAAGACUGUAAAAUGAGAUGAAGAAGAGCAUUAUCUAACAAUUCCAGGAUCUAUCCAUCAGGUAGAGCUAACAAUUAUAAAUGUAUUUGCAUGGAAUUCGAUAGCACCCAUAUAUAUAAAACAGUUAAUCACAGACAUAAGCAACCCUAUUGAUAAGAACAUAGUAAUUGCAGGGGACUUUAAUACUCCACUUACAACAAUCGACAGAUCAUCUAGACAGAGAAUCAAUAAAGAAACAAGGGCCCUGAAUGAUACAUUGGAUCAGAUGAACUUGACAGAUAUAUUUAGAACUCUUCAUUGCAAAGCAGCUGAAUAUACUUUCUUCUCGAGUGCAGGAUACAAAAUCAAUGCACAGAAAUCAGUUGAAUUCUUAUACACUAAUAAUGAAGCAACAGAAAGACAAAUAAAGAAACUGAUCCCAUUCACAAUUGCACCAAGAAGCAUAAAAUACCUAGGAAUAAACCUAACCAAAGAUGUAAAUGAUAUGUAUGCUGAAAACUAUAGAAAGCUGAUGAAGGAAAUUGAAGAAGAAAUAUAUAAAUGGAAAAACAUUCUGUGCUCAUGGAUUGGAAGAAUAAAUAUUGUUAAAAUGUCAAUAUUACCCUAAGCAAUCUAUACAUUCAAUGCAAUCCCAAUCAAAACUGCACCAACAUUCUUCUUGAAGCUAAAACAAGCAAUCCUAAAAUUUUUAUGGAACCACAGAAGACCUAGAAUAGCCAAAGUAAUUUUGAAGAAGAAGACCAUAGCAGGAGGCAUCAGAAUCCCAGACUUUAGCCUCUACUACAAAGCUGUAAUCAUCAAGACAGCAUUGUAUUGGCACAAAAAUAGACACAUAGACCAAUGGAAUAGAAUGGAGGCUCCAGAAUUGGACCCACAGAAGUAUGGCCAACUAAUAUUUAACAAAGCAGGAAAGAAUAUCCAAUGGAAAAAAGAGUCUUUUUAACAAAUCGUGCUGGGAGAACUGGACAGCAACAUGCAGAAAAAAGAAACUAUACCACUUUUUGACACCAUUCACAAAAAUAAAGUCAAAAUGGAUAAAGAACUUGAAUGUGAGACAGGAAACCAUCAAAACCUUAGAGGAGAAAUCAGGAAAAAACUCUCUGACCUCAGCUACAGCAAUUUCUUACUUGACACAUCUCCAAAGGCAAGGCAAUUAAAUACAAAAAUGAACUAUUGGGACCUCACAAAGAUAGGUCCUCUUCACUGCAAAGGAAACAAUCAGCAAAACUAAAAGGCAACCAAUGGAAUGCGAAAAUAUAUUUACAAAUGACAUCCAAAAAUCUAUAAAGAAGUCACCAAACUCCACACUCGAAAAGCAAAUAAUCCAUUGUAGAAAUGGGCAGAAAACAUGAAUAGACACUUCUCUAAAGAAGACAUCCAGAUGGCCAAAAGGCAUAUGAAAAGAUUCUCAACAUCACUCCUCAUCUGGGAAAUACAAAUCAAAACCACACUCAGAUACCAACUCACACCCGUCAGAGUGGCUAAAAUGAACAAUUCAGGAGUGUAUAGAUGCUGGCUAUGAUGUCGAGAAACGGGAACCCUCUUGCACUGUUGCUGGGAAUGCAAACUGGUGCAGCCCCUCUGGAAAACAGUGUGGAGAGUCCUCAAAAAAUUACAAAUAGACCUACCCUAUGACCCAGCCAUAGCACUGCUAAGAUUUUACCAAAGGGAUAUCGGAGUGCUGAUGCAUGGGGGGACUUGUAACCCAAUGUUUACAGCAGCAGUUUCAACAAUAGGCAAAUUAUGGAAAAAGCCUAAAUAUCCAGAAACUAAUGAAUGGAUAAAGAAGAUGUGGCUUGUAUAUACAAUGGAAAUUUACUUGGCAAUGAGAAAGAAUGAAAUCUGGCCCUUUGUAGCUACAUGGAUGCAACUAGAGAGUAUUAGGCUAAGUGAAAUAAGUCAGGCAGUGAAAGACAGAUACCAUAUGUUUUUACUCAUGUAUGGAUUCUGAGAAACUAAACAGAAUACCAUGGGGGAGGGGAAGGGGGAAAAUAGUUACAGAGAGGGAAGGAGGAAAAUCAUAAGAGACUCUUAAAUAUUGGGAACAAACUGAGGGUUGAUGGGGGCUGGGGGAAGUGGAUGAUGAACAUUGAAGAUGGCACCUGUUGGGAUGAGCACUGGGUGUUGCACGGAAAC